CCUACGGGAGGCAGCAGUGAGGAAUAUUGCACAAUGGGGGAAACCCUGAUGCAGCGACGCCGCGUGAGUGAAGAUGUCCUUCGUUAUGUAAAGCUCUAUCAGCAGGGAAGAAAAUUACGGUACCUGAGUAAGACGCCACGUCUAACUACGUGCCAGCCGCCGCGGUACUACGUAGGGGGCGAGCGUUUUCCGGAUUUACGGGGUGUAACGGGAGCGUAGACGGGAGUGCAAGUCUGGAGUGAAAGGCGGGGGCUCACCCCGCGGACUGCUAUUGAAACUGUCCGGCUGGAGUGCAGGAGAGGUGAGUGGAAUUUGUGGUGUAGCGGUGAAAUGCGUAGAUAGUAGGAGGAACACCAGUGGCGAAGGCGGCUUACUGGACUGUAACUGACGUUGAGGCACGAAAGCGUGGGGAGCAAACAGGAUUAGAUACCCCAGUAGUC
This 440-nucleotide ribosomal RNA is filed under the name uncultured bacterium. RNAcentral's name for it is "partial 16S ribosomal RNA". It matches the Rfam family "Bacterial small subunit ribosomal RNA", at positions 338 to 795 of the family's 1533-position model. The record is from RNAcentral.